Molecule: non-coding RNA, 194 nt
Filed under: Pediococcus argentinicus
Lineage: Bacteria; Bacillati; Bacillota; Bacilli; Lactobacillales; Lactobacillaceae
Description: T-box sequence
Rfam family: T-box leader
About the family: Uncharged tRNA acts as the effector for transcription antitermination of genes in the T-box leader family. T-boxes are found upstream of many aminoacyl-tRNA synthetase genes and some amino acid biosynthetic genes usually in Gram-positive bacteria. The anticodon of a specific tRNA base pairs to a specifier sequence within the T-box motif, and the NCCA acceptor tail of the tRNA base pairs to a conserved bulge in the T-box antiterminator hairpin.
Source: RNAcentral
AUCAAAGCGACGAAGUAGCAUAGUAGUUGUCAACAUGGACAUUAGAAACUUAGUGGUUACUGCAAACUAAGCAACGGUUGAUUAAUGAAUUACACUACGGAGCUUUCAUAAUGAACGGAUCAUCACGUUAUCGAUGUCGAGUGGAACAUUUAUGUUCAAUUCAAGGUGGUAACGCGGAAAAUUUCGUCCCUGAU